Arabidopsis thaliana (thale cress) is the source of this 186-nucleotide non-coding RNA. Lineage: Eukaryota; Viridiplantae; Streptophyta; Magnoliopsida; Brassicales; Brassicaceae. The record is from RefSeq.
GGUUCAGGUUCUCGUUGCUGCACAAGUAGCCAUCAAAAAGCUCGCUAAGCGGAUUAGUAUCAGUCCUGAUCUUGCCGCUGCUUACCUAGUUUACUUGCACUGUAAAUGUAAUGCUUGUUACACUGACCAACCUUGUCAAAACGUCGGUUGUGGACACUUCAUUUGUGAUGGCUGCUUCCAAGGUAU